CGGGCUGUAGCUCAGGGGUAGAGCACCCGACUUUGAUCGGGAGGACGGAGGUUCAAAUCCUUCCAGCUUGGCCA
RNAcentral lists this transfer RNA (74 nucleotides) under Hyphomicrobiaceae bacterium. RNAcentral describes it as "tRNA-OTHER". It matches the Rfam family "tRNA". Rfam says of the family: Transfer RNA (tRNA) molecules are approximately 80 nucleotides in length. Their secondary structure includes four short double-helical elements and three loops (D, anti-codon, and T loops). Lineage: Bacteria; Pseudomonadati; Pseudomonadota; Alphaproteobacteria; Hyphomicrobiales; Hyphomicrobiaceae. The record is from RNAcentral.